This 501-nucleotide ribosomal RNA is filed under the name uncultured bacterium. RNAcentral's name for it is "bacterial SSU rRNA". It matches the Rfam family "Bacterial small subunit ribosomal RNA", at positions 29 to 518 of the family's 1533-position model. The record is from RNAcentral.
AUGAACGCUAGCGACAGGCUUAACACAUGCAAGUCGAGGGGUAACAGGGUAGCAAUACCGCUGACGACCGGCGCACGGGCGAGUAACGCGUAUGCAACCUGCCUAGUAACUGGGGGAAUAGCUCCCUGAAAGGGGAAUUAACACCGCAUAAUACUAUUGAUUCGCAUGGAUUAGUAGUUAAAUGUAGCGAUACAGGUUAUAGAUGGGCAUGCGUGACAUUAGCUAGUUGGUGAGGUAACGGCUCACCAAGGCUACGAUGUCUAGGGGUUCUGAGAGGAAGGUCCCCCCACACUGGUACUGAGACACGGACCAGACUCCUACGGGAGGCAGCAGUGAGGAAUAUUGGUCAAUGGGCGCAAGCCUGAACCAGCCAUGUCGCGUGCAGGAAGAACCUGCCCUAUGGGUUGUAAACUGCUUUUAUAGUAGAAGAAACACAUCUACGUGUAGAUGUCUGCCAGUAUACUAUGAAUAAGCAUCGGCUAACUCCGUGCCAGCCGCGGC